RNAcentral lists this ribosomal RNA (492 nucleotides) under uncultured bacterium. RNAcentral describes it as "partial 16S ribosomal RNA". It matches the Rfam family "Bacterial small subunit ribosomal RNA", at positions 29 to 507 of the family's 1533-position model. The record is from RNAcentral.
AGUGAACGCUGGCGGUAGGCCUAACACAUGCAAGUCGAACGGCAGCACAGUAAGAGCUUGCUCUUACGGGUGGCGAGUGGCGGACGGGUGAGGAAUACAUCGGAAUCUACUUUUUCGUGGGGGAUAACGUAGGGAAACUUACGCUAAUACAGCAUACGACCUACGGGUGAAAGCAGGGGAUCUUCGGACCUUGCGCGAUUGAAUGAGCCGAUGUCGGAUUAGCUAGUUGGCGGGGUAAAGGCCCACCAAGGCGACGAUGCGUAGCUGGUCUGAGAGGAUGAUCAGCCACACUGGAACUGAGACACGGUCCAGACUCCUACGGGAGGCAGCAGUGGGGAAUAUUGGACAAUGGGCGCAAGCCUGAUCCAGCCAUACCGCGUGGGUGAAGAAGGCCUUCGGGUUGUAAAGCCCUUUUGUUGGGAAAGAAAAGCAGCAGGUUAAUACCCCGCUGUUCUGACGGUACCCAAAGAAUAAGCACCGGCUAACUUCGUG